UCUUCUGAAUAUUCAUGGAGAAGCUCUGCUGCCUUCCGAGCUUGACUCCUGGGGUAGGAGUUUGGGGGGCUGGAGGGUGAGAGGUGCCGGCAGCGGCGCAGAGCAGAGCAGCUGCUUGUGCAUUCGCCGCAUGCCUGACUGCAGAGCCAAGUUGCAUAAGGAGAAGGGAGAGGAGGGUUGCACGGAGAGGGGAAAUUUCCAAGGGAAGAGAGAUCUGCGGCAGUCUCUGCACCUCGGGUGAUGAAGAGAGGAACCUGCAGGCAUAAAUGGCCUGGAGAUGGCUGAAAUCUUUCCCCAGGAGAGUGGGACCGUGGGGUUAUUUUCCACCUGCCUCCCCUACCCGGUUCUGUAAGCCUGGCUCAAAGUAGACAAGUCGAGUUGGAGCUGAAGAAGGGAGGCGAUGCCACACCUCCCGAGGACACUGGGGACAUCUGGUUUUGCUGAGCUCGGCAUCUUCCCACCGGCGGACCGAAGGCAUCAGACAGACGCUCAUCUGCCCUGAAGUGCGGCUCCGCAACAGCUACCAGGAGGAUUCUGUCUCUCUGUCUCUCUGUCUCUCUUUCUCUCUCUCUCCAGUCCAAACCAUUACCAAGACCUGACUUCCACCAUCUGGGAAUCUAAAACCCCUUUUAUGUCCCUUCUCCUCUUUUUUUUUUUUCCUACGAUGACUCACCAUUAUUUUUAACUUUGAAGAGAGAGGAAAUUAUGGGGAUCUUGGAAGCCUGUAUUUCUCUCUAGGAUUUCCCCAGGGUCAGAUAAUCGGUGUUACUAAGAGACACUAAGAUUUGGCUUCUCCAGGUAAUGUGAUUUGUUUUCUGUGUGCCAUGGUGGUUUGCAGAGGAUGAUGACAGGAGCCGGGACACCAGCGGUCGAGGAGGGGGACUGCAGCGGUCCGCGGGGCAGCUUCCAUCGGCGGCUCCAAGCCAAGCCGGCCAGGCUGGCUGCAGGCAGGGAGGGCAGCAUGUCACCGUGCUGGGGCGAGAGGAGUGGGAAGGUGUCCAGCUUAACCCCAGAGCCCUUUCGGAGGGUUUAGCUUGCCUGAGCUUGCACGGCUCCGUGUGGUUAACCCUUAGCUGCAUGCCUGCAAAGCAGCCGAGCCUGGGCUGCCCCCUCCUUGGCUCCUCUCUCAGCACAGGGUUUAGUUUUCCUUCCUGCCUUUCCCAUCCCUUCCCUCCCCUCCUUUCUUUUUAUUUCUC
Dryobates pubescens (Downy woodpecker) is the source of this 1196-nucleotide long non-coding RNA. RefSeq lists it as uncharacterized. The record is from RefSeq and is a predicted model, not a curated record. NCBI's taxonomy places the organism in Eukaryota, Metazoa, Chordata, Aves, Piciformes, Picidae. The transcript is spliced from 3 exons.